GUGAAAAGCGAAUGAGAACACUCCCCUCAGUUGGACUCGACUUCAUGCACAAAAAUGAGGACUUGUGUCUUGACGUAUUUAAACGUUACUACCUAAAGAGUCUCGAGUUUUUGAGGCAAAAUCCUGGAGAAAUUGUGAGAAAACCGCUAGGAAAAGCUGAGACACUUGAUGCUCACGUGGAUGGAUGAAGCCACUAGCCUGGAAGCUAUCGAUGAGCCCAGUGUGUGAAAGUCAUGACUGGAUUCAACCACUAGAGGGACCUGGGGCAAAAUGAAUUCUGGGCGCCUACUGACCUUAUGUUGGCAUGUGAAAGAUCCAGAUUAGGCCGGCACAUGUGGAGUGCAGCGCAUUCAUCAGAGCUGUUCUGCCUACACACAGGUGCCGACUGCUGCUGGAAACUAGGUUGAUGAAAGCAGAACGUGCACGCCAGAAAACCCAAAGAAAAACCUCCAUAGUGCUCGUCUGACACAAGUCGGGUUCACAGCAAGCCACCAUUUUCUGGUGUGUCUCGUGUUAUUCAUUUGAUGCACUGUUAACAUAAAAGCAUUAAACGUUUACUUUGCCAUAUUAACCAUUUCUAACUUUUUAUUUUCUGAUUUUGAAUAAGCGGUGUUGAAGUGCUUUGUGGUGCAUUCCUCUCGACCUGACUUGAUGGACAUCUCCUCUAAAUGACAGUUUUGACUUGUUGUUGUCACU
Molecule: long non-coding RNA, 696 nt
Organism: Cottoperca gobio
Lineage: Eukaryota; Metazoa; Chordata; Actinopteri; Perciformes; Bovichtidae
Exons: 4
Source: RefSeq, a predicted model, not a curated record